GGUUCGCUGAGGAUGGAGCCAGGCUUACAAGAUGGGAAGGGGUGGGUUUGGGGUCCAAAAGUGGCACGUCCCGCUGAGCAGGCCUGGAGAGGUCACAGAAACUGUGGCUGAGCUCAAUGCACAGAGCCUUGGACCAAGAAGACUUUACUCUUCUCCUGUGCCUCCUUCCAUCUGGCAUUUGAGCUCAGGUAGCCAAGAACCAAAGAGCUAAUUCGCUGUAGAUAGAGUCAACCACAUAGAUGGCUUCUGCUUAAUUUGCUGAUGAAAUAGCAACUUUGUCCAUGUUGGGAUCUCUACUUACACACUUGGUUUCCUUUGAAAAUUAAAACCCUGACCUAGAAAACAAGCACACUGUUCAGGGACACCAUCUUGUAAGUUUGGUUGUUAACCACCCGCUGCUCUCAAUAAAUCAGUCUGUG
Long non-coding RNA from Heterocephalus glaber (naked mole-rat), 419 nucleotides. RefSeq lists it as uncharacterized. The record is from RefSeq and is a predicted model, not a curated record. NCBI's taxonomy places the organism in Eukaryota, Metazoa, Chordata, Mammalia, Rodentia, Bathyergidae.